RNAcentral lists this long non-coding RNA (2053 nucleotides) under Marmota monax (woodchuck). Lineage: Eukaryota; Metazoa; Chordata; Mammalia; Rodentia; Sciuridae. The record is from RNAcentral.
AAAUGCCCGGGAAGCAGGCUGGCCCCGGCUGACCAGCCCCGAGGAGGGCGCUGCUCGUCCCUCACUCACGCGCACGAGGGGUUCAUCAUGUGACUCCCGGCCGUCUGGCUUGGUGGGGGCCGCCGGGGUGCUCUCUUUUCCUGACGGUCCCCCUAGCUGUCUGACCUGUUGUGAGGUGAGGAAUGACAACGUGCCUGCUCACAGAUUGCCUGGGCACUGACCGACUCACACACAAGGGCCUGCCAGGCACGGGGGCCCACUCCGCCUCAGCCCAGGGGGUGGGCACGUGGCCGUGCCAGACAGACAGACUUUUCCUCCAGGGAAUCUGCGUCCUGGGCCUUGGCUGCUGACACAGAGACUGUGGUGGCUGAGCCUCCUUCUCUGGGUGUGUUCUGAGAGAUGGGUCACUAGGCCCUGCCAACAGGACCCCUGGAGGCACCUGGAGUACUCUGGGCCCUGAUUCUCUUCUUCUUGUGAUUCUCUGAGCAUCGUUAGCCUCCCAGAAUAUUCUUCUCUCCCCCUAAAACUAGCCAGAGCCAGGCACUGCUGCUUGCUCCCCAAGGAUCCCAGUUAAUGCAGACCCCUGGGGUCUCCCCAUGCAAAAGAUGGACUCCUGUCGCCUGGGGCCUGGCCUCCUCCUCUGGCAACAGAGCACCCUCUCUAAGGCUCUGGGAUGGGCGCAGAGCCCUGCGACAUCAGGAGGCUUCCUGGAGAAGGUGGCGCUGGGGAAUGACAAAGGGUCAAAGGCAGCGGGAGUGGAAGGACCUCUGAGAAGAUAGAGAGGGGCGUCCAGUGUGGCCUGUGAGCGUCCCCCUGCCCACCGGCUCUGAGGAGCCCGUCUCUGCAGCCGACAGACCUCCUGCGAGCAGUGGCUGCUGUCCACUGUCCCCUUCUCAGAGGAGCCGCCGAGGCGGGAGCAGCCGAGGCCCUUAGGGGCAGGAUGCUAAUGGAUGGCCCCCCGCUGAGUCCGCCUGGCUUUUGUGAACAUGCCCGCCCAGACUGGUGUGCUUCAUUACCCAUUGCCGCACUCGCGCUGAGCUGUCCUGGACAGAGGCUCAGCCUGUGGCCGGAAGCCAAGUCUCAGGGUCCUCUUCCCUCCUGCGAGGUUGGUGGCCCUGGAAACCGAGGCCACGGCCCCUGCUGAUGAGAUCAGACAGGCCACCGUGUGUCAUGAACAUUCAACAGGCGUCACCAAGACCGUGCACAGACCUUGGGUGGGCCCUGCAGGGCCGAGGGAAGCUGGAGGCACAGCUGCUGGCGGGCAUCGACCCUGGACAGGCAGGGCGUGUGCGAGGCCAGACCCAGCGGUGAGAAGCAGCCCAGGCAGACAGUGGAGAGGACCCGGGAGUCUGAUCCCACCCCUGCCCAGGCUUCCUUGUCCUCACCUCCUUUUCUGAGUUGGCUUCACCCUGAGUCUUGGCGGUUGUCCCCACAGGUUCAGGCUGUGAGCCAGAGGGGCGGAGACCGAGAGAAGUGGGGGCGGUGCGUGCAGUAUGUGCGGAGCGCGGCUGAGUUCCCUGUCGAUGGCCACGGCCCGGUCCAUGCCAGGUGGGAUAAGUGGGAAAUGGCGAGCCUGGUGUCCCCAGGCACAGUCCUCAGGAUGGCCUGUCAACCUUCUUUUCCCAGCUCCGAGCAACAUUUUGGGCAGGACCCGGAGUUUUGUCACAGUUCUCAAAGCCCAGCUCACUGAGGGACCACCAACCAACUGGGUCAUAUUGCAUCUAAUGAUUAGCACCUCCCCCUCCCUCCACGCCCUUGGACUUCAGCAUGAGGGACUUGAAGGUGGGGGGGGGUCUCGUUCCCUAACUUUCUGGUUCUAACUUCUCAGGCAAUGGCAGGAAGGGAGCUGGGGAAAGGGAACCCACUAAUACCUUCUGUUUUCAGGAAUAUGAGUUGAUAUCUAUAAAAAGGCUUAGGACAGACUCAGGGUAAGACACCAACACAGUUUGGGAGUGUUUUAUACAGUUAAAUGCGCAGCUGGUCCACAGGAAAUGAAAAUGCACCUUUACCCAAAAGACUCAAAAAUUUCCCAAGCAGCUUUAUUCACCUUGAC